AAUCGAACCCGGAGAUAGCUGGUUCUCCUCGAAAUAGCUUUAGGGCUAGCCUCAUACAAGUCUUGCGGAGGUAGAGCACUGAAUUUCCUAGGGGGCGUCAAAGCUUACCGAAGAAUAUCAAACUCCGAAUGCCGUGUAGAUGUUGUAUGGGAGUCAGACUGUACGAGAUAAGUUGGACAGUCAAAAGGGAAAGAGCCCAGACCGCCGGCUAAGGUCCCAAAGUGGGUGUUAAGUGGAAAAGGAUGUGGGAUCUCUAAGACAACCAGGAUGUUGGCUCAGAAGCAGCCAUUCAUUAAAAGAGUGCGUAACAGCUCACUGGUCGAGAGGUCCUGCGCCGAAAAUGUCCGGGGCUGAAACACCACACCGAAGCCGCGGAACCCGUAAGGGUUGGUAGAGGAGCAUUCUUAGGGGAGCGAAGCAUUACCGGAAGGGGAUGUGGACCGCUAAGAAGAGAGAAUGCCGGAAUGAGUAGCGAGAGCAAGGUGGGAAUCCUUGCGGCCGAAUAUCCAAGGUUUCCAGAGUAAAGCUGAUCUGCUCUGGGUAAGUCGGGGCCUAAGGAGAGGCAGAGAUGCGUAUCCGAUGGACAGCAGGUUUAAGAUUCCUGCACCCCUUGUUAUCAGAACUGCGGGGACACGGGAAGGGAAGCAGAGCCGGGAAUGGAAAGCCCGGUGCAAGCGAAGGAGUCGCAGGGUUGGAAAAUCCGCCCUGCAUAAGACGAAGGCGUGAUGCGGAGCGAAAUGAAGUAGUGAAGCUGCGGCCCCUUCCUGUCGAGAAAAGCCGCUAUCGUGUAGCAAGGGCCCGUACCGUAAACCGACACAGGUGGAUGAGGAGAGGAUCCUAAGGCCGGCGGGAGAAGUGUUGUUAAGGAACUCGGCAAAAUGACUCCGUAACUUCGGGAGAAGGAGUGCUGCGCAAGCAGCCGCAGAGAAAUGGCCCAAGCAACUGUUUAGCAAAAACACAGGUCUAUGCGAAACCGAAAGGUGAGGUAUAUGGGCUGACGCCUGCCCGGUGCUGGAAGGUUAAGGGGAGAGGUUAGCGCAAGCGAAGCUUUGAACUUAAGCCCCAGUAAACGGCGGCCGUAACUAUAACGGUCCUAAGGUAGCGAAAUUCCUUGUCGGGUAAGUUCCGACCCGCACGAAAGGCGUAAUGAUUUGGGCACUGUCUCAACAACACACCCGGUGAAAUUGAAAUACCAGUGAAGAUGCUGGUUACCCGCGCCAGGACGGAAAGACCCCAUGGAGCUUUACUCCAGCCUGAUACUGGGAUUCGGUAUUGCAUGUACAGGAUAGGUGGGAGGCUAAGAACUUAUGGCGCCAGCCGUGAGGGAGCCGGUGUUGGGAUACCACCCCUGCAGUACUGGGUUUCUAACCUGCGCCCGUGACCCGGGCGGGGGACAAUGUCAGGCGGGGAGUUUGACUGGGGCGGUCGCCUCCGAAAGGGUAUCGGAGGCGCUCAAAGGUUCCCUCAGAAUGGUUGGAAACCAUUCGAAGAGUGCAAAGGCAGAAGGGAGCUUGACUGCGACACCGACGGGUGGAGCAGGUACGAAAGUAGGACUUAGUGAUCCGGUGGUAUAAAGUGGGAUUGCCAUCGCUCAACGGAUAAAAGCUACCCUGGGGAUAACAGGCUUAUCACUCCCAAGAGUUCACAUCGACGGAGUGGUUUGGCACCUCGAUGUCGGCUCAUCGCAUCCUGGAGCUGGAGCAGGUUCCAAGGGUUGGGCUGUUCGCCCAUUAAAGCGGUACGCGAGCUGGGUUCAGAACGUCGUGAGACAGUUCGGUCCCUAUCCGGCGCGGGCGGAGGAUAUUUGAGAGGAGCUGUCCUUAGUACGAGAGGACCGGGAUGGACGGACCACUGGUGUAUCUGUUGUCGACCAACGGCAUGGCAGAGUAGCCAAGUCUGGAAGGGAUAAACGCUGAAGGCAUCUAAGCGUGAAGCCCCCCUAAAGAUAAGAUUUCCCAUACCAUAAGGUAGUAAGACCCCUUGAAGACGACGAGGUAGAUAGGGCAGAGGUGGAAGUACGGUAACGUAUGGAGCUGACUGUUACUAAUCGGUCGAGGCUUUAACCAA
RNAcentral lists this ribosomal RNA (2067 nucleotides) under human gut metagenome. RNAcentral describes it as "bacterial LSU rRNA". It matches the Rfam family "Bacterial large subunit ribosomal RNA", at positions 831 to 2925 of the family's 2925-position model. The record is from RNAcentral.